RNA transcript from Sebastes umbrosus (honeycomb rockfish), 2389 nucleotides. It is a transcript of the gene named ADP-ribosylation factor-like 5A, with no coding region annotated. The record is from RefSeq and is a predicted model, not a curated record. Lineage: Eukaryota; Metazoa; Chordata; Actinopteri; Perciformes; Sebastidae. The transcript has 9 exons.
AGUGCGCAUGCGCAGUCGGUUGACAGCUAACUAGCGCAGCGCAGCUUCACAGCAGCAGCUGAUGCUAACCAGCUAACCAGCUAACCGCAGCGGUUACCGGUUACCGUCGGUUACCGUCGGUUACACGUUAACCGUCACACUCACACUCUACACCCUGCCGGAGCCGGAGAGAUUCAUCGACCGUAACUGAAGCCAGUAUGUUGCUGCACAGCUCUUCUUCGUGUGUGUUAGUGUAGUGGAGUUAGCCGGCUAGCUAGUGGUAGCACUGAUUAGCAUCAAGGCUAGCUAGCUGAAGUUCCUGCGGCGGGUGUUUCACUAAGCUCUCCGUCACCAUGGGGAUACUCUUCACCAAGCUCUGGAGGCUGUUCAACCAUCAAGAGCACAAAGUUAUUAUCGUGGGCCUGGACAAUGCUGGCAAGACCACUAUUCUUUACCAGUUUUCAAUGAAUGAGGUGGUGCACACCUCUCCUACGAUUGGGAGCAACGUGGAGGAGAUUGUGGUCAACAACACUCAUUUCCUGAUGUGGGACAUCGGGGGCCAGGAGUCCCUUAGGUCAUCGUGGAACACGUACUACACAAACACAGAGUUUGUCAUUGUGGUGGUCGACAGCACAGACAGAGAACGGAUCUCAGUGACCAAAGAGGAACUCUACAGAAUGCUAGCACAUGAAGAUUUAAGAAAGGCAGGGCUGUUGAUCUUUGCCAACAAGCAGGAUGUGAAAGGUUGCAUGUCUGUGGCCGAGAUCUCCCAGAGCCUCCAGCUUACCUCUGUCAAAGACCACCAGUGGCACAUCCAGGCCUGCUGCGCCCUCACUGGGGAGGGGGAGCAUGAUGAGCAGCUACAGGAGUAGAGAGGAGAGAGAGAGCCAGAGUUAAAGUCAGCGGAGGCAUUCAGGGAGAGAAGAAGAGACCCAGCAGCAUACAGGAGGGGAGGGGCCUGUUUCAAAUUCAAGGUGAGCUGAUUACAGAGCUCCGUCAGAGAGAGCUCCGUCAGAGAGCUCCGUCAGAGAGAGCUCCGUCAGAGAGAGCUCCGUCAGAGAGCUCCGUCAGAGAGAGCUCCGUCAGAGAGCUCCCUGAAGGAGAAGGACCGUUAACACCGAGGAGAGAGUCCGUCCUCUCUGCUGCUCCCACCGGGUACUCUGACAGAGCUGUGGGUCUGUUUUUGAAACAACGUGGUGGAAUGACUACAGAGCCAACUGCUGUUCGGACAUUGGUGCUCAGAGGGCUUCCCAUUGUCCUUGGUGACAACCCCACAGACUUCUACAGAGCAGGCUUUGAUGCUGAUGAUGAUGACUCAUUCCGCCACAUCGAGAUUGGAAUCCUCCAGGUUGAGCCUGAAGGUGCUGCGGUUACAUCUUCCCUGCAUCUCAGUCCAGCCUCUUUGAAGGUCAUCAUUGAGGGAGAAGUUGUGAUGGACAACAUUAAAAACCUUCCUACAGCGAUGUGCCUUCUGUUUGGACUUUCAUAUGCACUGCAUCUCAACUACCACAAGUCUAUGAAGUUCACAUUCCAGUUCAUCCAACGGGUACCUCUCACGUUGGGCCACAGUGAACUAAAACCAAGGUUACAAACCUUGAGGAACCAGCUUGCAAUGUAAAGAAAUGCUAUGUUAAGUCUACUGUGAGAAGCCAUGGCUGGUUUUUUUUUUUUCACGGCGUGCCAUGCAGCCGCAGUCAAUAUAGGUCAGUAUAUGUGAGGUGGUCUCAAAGGAGGCUACACGCACGCACGCACGCACGCACGCACGCACGCACGCACACAAAAUCCAUAAGGUGCUCCCAUAUAAAAAACAUUUGAGCUGUGCCUUUUUUUGGUCUACCUGUAUCUGUCGGAGUACAAAUAUUUACAUUCUGGUGUGUGUCUAUUGUUAUGAGGAUGAUGUUCUGUAGCAUAAUGAAUAUGUGAACACUAUAUGUACAGUAUGUAUGCUUGUAUAUAAUGUUUAGGUCUUAGAUGCAGAGUCAGCUCAACCAGGACGUGAGUGGCACAUUUUAAAGCACAAACACAUAUACAGACACUUGUGACUGCUCUUCAGCUGCUAUCGUUGACAUCAGCAUUCAAGUUUGAUAAAUGCAACACAAAAGCCUCUCAUGGUUUCAUUCCCCUUGGUCAAAAAGGAUAUAGGGAACAAACAGGUGCUUGUUAUUUUGUAUUAUGUAAGAUGUGAUUCAAGUUUGAGGGACAGGAAUAUCCACCCACUUGUGUUUUACAGUACAGGAUGUAGAAGUGUAUGUUCAGGACUGUAUAUUAGUGCUCACCUCAUUUGAUUUAUUACAUGGCUUUGUUGAAUAGUCGAUUUCUUUAGAGUAGACUGUUGCUAUGUUUAAUACUCCGCAGCUAUGGCUGAGUUCAAGUUGUUUUGUUGUCAAUAAAAUAAUUUGGCAAAUUUAAA